RNAcentral lists this long non-coding RNA (632 nucleotides) under Coffea arabica (coffee). RNAcentral describes it as "long non-coding RNA (CARA_LNC008382)". The record is from RNAcentral. Lineage: Eukaryota; Viridiplantae; Streptophyta; Magnoliopsida; Gentianales; Rubiaceae.
GGGGUGUGAAUGGUGGACGGAGAGUAGUGUAAGUGGUGCUCUACUGGAUUGGUUCCUUUACUUAAAAGUUGACGGAGUGUCAACUAUUACGUGAUCAAGCUCCUGAUGAUGAAAUGGGAAGUUGGCUCCUGAGAGCCAUCCGUAUCCUUAUGCUUUGGAAUGAUUAUUGCUUAUUGGAUUAUUGUUGAUUUUGAAAAACUUUUACACUCGCUCAUUUUGAGAUUUCUAUUUGACGUGUUAUUGCUCACGUUUAUGAACUCUUCAUGCUCGUUACUUUGCUAUAUCGAAAACUUGUACUUAUAAAUAAGGGUCAAUUUGUUAUUUGGAACCUCACUGGGCUUUUAGCUCAUACCACGCUAUUUGUUUUCCUUACAGGGGGACGAGUGACGCGUGAGACUUGUAAAAGACUAGCGUAGCCUUUUGUUUUGACUUUUGACUUUUUGGUCUUGUACUCGCGCUAUUCCUCGAAUGGAACAUGUUGUACUUGGAUUGUAUACGUUUUGAACUAGUUUGGUGUAUUGAGACUUUGUACCUUGAUUUGUAUCAAUGUAAAUUAUAAGCUUGAACUGUAGAUGUUAUUUACGGUUCCUAGAUGUAUGUGCGUGAUUUGCGUGAGCUUGUGAAUGAGUCCU